GACGAACGCUGGCGGCGUGCCUAAUACAUGCAAGUCGAGCGGAAAUUUUGGAGCUUGCUCCAAAAUUUUAGCGGCGGACGGGUGAGUAACACGUGGGCAACCUGCCCUGCAGAUCGGGAUAACUCCGGGAAACCGGUGCUAAUACCGAAUAGUUUGUUUCACCUCCUGGUGAAACACGGAAAGACGGUUUCGGCUGUCACUGCAGGAUGGGCCCGCGGCGCAUUAGCUAGUUGGUGGGGUAAUGGCCCACCAAGGCGACGAUGCGUAGCCGACCUGAGAGGGUGAUCGGCCACACUGGGACUGAGACACGGCCCAGACUCCUACGGGAGGCAGCAGUAGGGAAUCUUCCGCAAUGGACGAAAGUCUGACGGAGCAACGCCGCGUGAGUGACGAAGGUUUUCGGAUCGUAAAACUCUGUUGUGAGGGAAGAACAAGUACCAACUAACUACUGGUACC
RNAcentral lists this ribosomal RNA (456 nucleotides) under uncultured bacterium. RNAcentral describes it as "bacterial SSU rRNA". It matches the Rfam family "Bacterial small subunit ribosomal RNA", at positions 28 to 474 of the family's 1533-position model. The record is from RNAcentral.